GACGAACGCUGGCGGCGUGCUUAACACAUGCAAGUCGAACGAAGAGCGAUGGAAGCUUGCUUCUAUCAAUCUUAGUGGCGAACGGGUGAGUAACGCGUAAUCAACCUGCCCUUCAGAGGGGGACAACAGUUGGAAACGACUGCUAAUACCGCAUACGAUCUAAUCUCGGCAUCGAGGAUAGAUGAAAGGUGGCCUCUACAUGUAAGCUAUCACUGAAGGAGGGGAUUGCGUCUGAUUAGCUAGUUGGAGGGGUAACGGCCCACCAAGGCGAUGAUCAGUAGCCGGUCUGAGAGGAUGAACGGCCACAUUGGGACUGAGACACGGCCCAGACUCCUACGGGAGGCAGCAGUGGGGAAUCUUCCGCAAUGGACGAAAGUCUGACGGAGCAACGCCGCGGGAGUGAUGACGGCCGUCGGGUUGUAAAGCUCUGUUAAUCGGGACGAAAGGCCUUCUUGCGAAUAGUGAGAAGGAUUGACGGUACCGGAAUAGAAAGCCACGGCUAACUACGUG
This 510-nucleotide ribosomal RNA is filed under the name uncultured bacterium. RNAcentral's name for it is "partial 16S ribosomal RNA". It matches the Rfam family "Bacterial small subunit ribosomal RNA", at positions 28 to 507 of the family's 1533-position model. The record is from RNAcentral.